Molecule: ribosomal RNA, 632 nt
Filed under: uncultured marine eukaryote
Lineage: Eukaryota
Description: SSU rRNA
Rfam family: Eukaryotic small subunit ribosomal RNA
Source: RNAcentral
GUUAAAAAGCUCGUAGUUGGAUUUUGGUUAAGAGGGCACGGUCGGCCGUUUAGUCUGAACUGCGUUGUCUUGACUUCCUGAUGAGGACAUGCUCUUGGUUAACGCUGAGACAUGGAGUCAUCGUGGUUACUUUGAAAAAAUUAGAGUGUUCAAAGCGGGCUUACGCUUGAAUAUAUUAGCAUGGAAUAACACUAUAGGACUCCUGUCCUAUCUCGUUGGUCUCGGGAUGGGAGUAAUGAUUAAGAGGAACAGUUGGGGGCAUUCGUAUUUCAUUGUCAGAGGUGAAAUUCUUGGAUUUAUGAAAGACGAACUUCUGCGAAAGCAUUUGCCAAGGAUGUUUUCAUUGAUCAAGAACGAAAGUUGGGGGCUCGAAGAUGAUUAGAUACCAUCCUAGUCUCAACCAUAAACGAUGCCGACUAGGGAUUGGCGGAUGUUAAUUGAUGACUUCGCCAGCACCUUAUGAGAAAUCAAAGUUUUUGGGUUCCGGGGGGAGUAUGGUCGCAAGGCUGAGACUUAAAGGAAUUGACGGAAGGGCACCACCAGGCGUGGAGCCUGCGGCUUAAUUUGACUCAACACGGGGAAACUUACCAGGUCCAGACAUAGUAAGGAUUGACAGAUUGAGAGCUCUUUCU